RNAcentral lists this ribosomal RNA (164 nucleotides) under Camellia perpetua. Its description in RNAcentral is "5.8S ribosomal RNA". It matches the Rfam family "5.8S ribosomal RNA". From Rfam's summary of the family: 5.8S ribosomal RNA (5.8S rRNA) is a component of the large subunit of the eukaryotic ribosome. RNAcentral also lists the same sequence under 1 other name. Lineage: Eukaryota; Viridiplantae; Streptophyta; Magnoliopsida; Ericales; Theaceae. The record is from RNAcentral.
UGAACGACUCUCGGCAACGGAUAUCUCGGCUCUCGCAUCGAUGAAGAACGUAGCGAAAUGCGAUACUUGGUGUGAAUUGCAGAAUCCCGCGAACCAUCGAGUCUUUGAACGCAAGUUGCGCCCGAAGCCAUUAGGUUGAGGGCACGUCUGCCUGGGCGUCUCGC